AGCUUAGACAGUGGGGUUUUGCUAACUUGACUCUUUUAGACUGAGAUUAAUUAGGGUGCUCCCCAACCUCCACCCCUUUGGCCAGCUGCUUAUGGGCUCCAUGUGUGUUCACAUCCUGAAGCACAGUUGAAGAGCCUGUUUCUCUCUCAGGUGCACUGGCAGAUGGGGC
Molecule: long non-coding RNA, 169 nt
Organism: Parus major (Great Tit)
Lineage: Eukaryota; Metazoa; Chordata; Aves; Passeriformes; Paridae
Exons: 2
Source: RefSeq, a predicted model, not a curated record